RNAcentral lists this ribosomal RNA (400 nucleotides) under uncultured bacterium. Its description in RNAcentral is "bacterial SSU rRNA". It matches the Rfam family "Bacterial small subunit ribosomal RNA", at positions 28 to 430 of the family's 1533-position model. The record is from RNAcentral.
GACGAACGCUGGCGGCGUGCUUAACACAUGCAAGUCGAGCGGUAAGGCCCUUUCGGGGGUACACGAGCGGCGAACGGGUGAGUAACACGUGGGUGACCUGCCCUCAGCUCUGGGAUAAGCCUGGGAAACCGGGUCUAAUACCGGAUAUGACUCCAUGACGCAUGUUGUGGGGUGGAAAGCCUUGUGCGGCUGAGGAUGGGCCCGCGGCCUAUCAGCUUGUUGGUGGGGGAUGGCCUACCAAGGCGACGACGGGUAGCCGGCCUGAGAGGGCGACCGGCCACACUGGGACUGAGACACGGCCCAGACUCCUACGGGAGGCAGCAGUGGGGAAUCUUGCGCAAUGGGCGAAAGCCUGACGCAGCGACGCCGCGUGAGGGAUGACGGCCUCGGUGUAACGUAC